CAAGCAGAAGGCGGUUGAGAAGUUGACGGAAAUUGUCUAACCCCAAUGUCUUGGUAAAAAUUAAUAAUUUAAUUAUUUUUCCUCAUUUAUUUGAGUAUAUAGUAACUAAUUUAUGUCUUGACGGCUUCAUAAGUCAUCAAGUUUGAUUGUUACAAUUGAUUGAUACCAAUGACUGGAUAUAUUAUGUCAUGAAUAUAUUCUAUAUAUUUGGGUAUCUUGAGUAUUUACUCAUUCGAAUGAUUGUUCAUCAUCACUUUCUUCACUGAUGCUUGGUUGGUGCAAAAAUGCUUUGAGAAAAAAAUAAACUUCAGUAAGAGAUCAAUUGGAGUAAAAUUAAUUCAUUGAUUCGGAUCAUCAUGAAUCUCUUGUGCAGGUUUUGGAUGCUGGAAGCGCAGAAAUACGUCCGCCGAGAAAUUGAAAGAAUUGUCUGCUGCUCUGGAUAUUUCUCGAUGUGACAGGUUUAUGAUUGAGAAAAAAUGAAUUAUUUCACUAUAACAGAAAUAUUAAAAUAUAGUUUAUAAAAUUCUAUAAAUGCAAAGCGAGAAUUGGGAUCGAUGGUGUAACCCGACAAAGAAAAUUGGAUACUAUUUCAUAUACUUAUGAUUACUAUUUCUACUGAUUAAUUGAUCUAACCUGGAUCU
Long non-coding RNA from Microplitis mediator, 641 nucleotides. RefSeq lists it as uncharacterized. NCBI's taxonomy places the organism in Eukaryota, Metazoa, Arthropoda, Insecta, Hymenoptera, Braconidae. The record is from RefSeq and is a predicted model, not a curated record. The transcript is spliced from 4 exons.